UAGGUUCGAUCAUGGCUCAGAUUGAACGCUGGCGGGAUGUUUACACAUGCAAGUCGAACGGCAGCACGGACUUCGGUCUGGUGGCGAGUGGCGAAACAGGUGAGUAAUGUAUCGGAACGUGCCUAGUAGCGGGGGAUAACUACGCGAAAGCGUAGCUAAUACCGCAUACGCCCUUCGGGGAAAGCGGGGGACCUUCUGGCCUGCACUAUUAGAUGGCCGAUAUCGAUUGAAGGUUGGUGGGGUAACGGCUCACCACAGCGACGAUCCGUAGCUGGUUUGAGAGGACGACCAGCCACACUGGGACUGAGACACGGCCCAGACUCCUACGGGAGGCAGCAGUGGGGAAUUUUGACAAUGGGGAAAACCCCUGAUCCAGCCAUCCCGCGUGUGCGAUGAAGGCCUUCGGGUUGUAAAGCACUUUUGGCAGGAAAGAAACGGCACGGGAUAAUACCCCGUGCAACUGACGGUACCUGCAGAAUAAGCACCGGCUAACUACGUGCCAGCAGCCGCGGUAAUACGCAGGGUGCAGCGUUAAUCGGAAUUACUGGGCGUAAAGCGUGGUGCAGGCGGUUCGAAAAAGAAAGAUGUGGAACUUGGUGAGCUUAACUUUUUGGAACUGCAUUUUUAACUACCGAGCUAGAGUGUGUCAGAGGGAGGUGGAAUUCCGUGUAGCAGUGAAAUGCGUAGAUAUGGGAGAACACCGAUGGCGAGGGCAGCCUCCUGGGAUAACACUGACGCUCAUGCAUGAAAAAGCGUGGGGAGCAAACAGGAUUAGAUACCCUGGUAGUCCACGCCCUAAAAACGAUGUCAACUAGCUGUUGGGGCCUUCGGCCUUGGUAGCGCAGCUAACGCGUGAAGUUGACCGCCUGGGAGUACGGUCGCAAGAUUAAAACUCAAAGGAAUUGACGGGACCCGCACAAGCGGUGGAUGAUGUGAUUAAUUCGAUGCAAUCGCGAAAACCUUACUCACCCUUGACAUGUCUGAAUCCCGAAGUAGAUUUUGGGAGUGCCUGCAAGAGAACCGAACACAGGUGCUGCAUGGCUGUCGUCAGCUCGCCAGCAGAUGUUGGGUUAAGUCCCGCAACGAGCGCAACCCUUGUCAUUAGUUGCUACGAAAGGGCACUCUAAUGAGACUGCCGGUGACAAACCGGAGGAAGGUGGGAUGACGUCAAGUCCUCAUGGCCCUUAUGGGUAGGGCUUCACACGUCAUACAAUGGUCGGGACAGAGGGUCGCCAACCCGCGAGGGGGAGCCAAUCCCAGAAACCCCGAUCAGUCCGGAUCGCAGUCUGCAACUCGACUGCGUGAAGUCGGAAUCUCGCUAGUAAUCGCGGAUCAGCAUGUCGCGGUGAAUACGUUCCCGGUCUUGUACACACCGCCCGUCACACCAUGGGAGUGUUUGACCAGAAGUAGUUAGCUCAUCCUCGUAAGGGGAGGGCGAUUGCCACGGUAGGAUUCAGUGACUGGGUGAAGUCGUAACAAGGUAG
Molecule: ribosomal RNA, 1484 nt
Filed under: uncultured Bordetella sp.
Lineage: Bacteria; Pseudomonadati; Pseudomonadota; Betaproteobacteria; Burkholderiales; Alcaligenaceae
Description: partial 16S-23S ribosomal RNA intergenic spacer
Rfam family: Bacterial small subunit ribosomal RNA
Source: RNAcentral